Molecule: long non-coding RNA, 1294 nt
Filed under: Carica papaya (papaya)
Lineage: Eukaryota; Viridiplantae; Streptophyta; Magnoliopsida; Brassicales; Caricaceae
Description: long non-coding RNA (CPAP_LNC009147)
Source: RNAcentral
AAGAAAAAAAAAAGAGAAAGAGAGAAAAGAGCGAGAGAGAGAGACGCGAUUGUGAGAGGAGGGAAGGGUCGAACGGCAUCGACGGCUGAAAGAGAAGGGUCGCGUUGUGUUGCACAAUACCGCAACCAAAGGAGAAGAAGAGAGAGAAUAGUCAUGAUUGGGUAGAGAGAGAGAUAGAGAGAGAGAGAAAAAAGAAGAAGAAUAAUAAUAAUAUAAAAAGAAAGGAAAAAAAAAGAAAAAGAAGAAGAAAAAAAAAAGAAGAGGAGAGGGAAAGGCCACAGGAAGAGGAAGGAAGAAGAAAAGAAAGAAAAAAGAGAAAGAAAAGAAAAAAAGAAAAAAAAGAAAGAAAAGAAAAAAAAAAGAAAAAAAAAAGGGAGUGCAACGACUGAAUAUGUUGUUGGUACACCGUAUGCGGCAACACGCACGGAUCCCAACAUCAGUGUGUAGCAUUUUUGGUGACACGCAUGUAAUGGUGCAUGGUGACGUUGAUGACCUAGUCUGCGUGUCUAAAGGUAAAAUAUAUUCUUAAUUUCGCAUAAUACAAUUUCUAAAAUUAUUUAUAAUUUAAUAUAUAUGUUUUCUAUUAUAAAUGAAAAAAAUUAUCCAAAUGGUAUUUGGAUUUAUGAGAGAACUGUAGAUCGAGUUAGAAAGAAUUUCUAAACUUUUUUCGAUCACACCAUAUGUAAAAACUAUGUGUAUUCCGUACGGAGAUAUAAAUUAUAUAUUUAUGUAAAUAUAUAUAUGUAUAGUGCAUUAUGUGUGAAUGUUUAAAUAUAUAUGUAAUAUAAUAUUAAUAUAAUUAGUAUGUCUAAUUUGUAUAUGUGUAGUUAUAUAGUAUAUAUACAUACAUUGUUACACAUGUGUGUGUGUGUGUGUAUAAAAAUAUACAAUAAACGAGAUAUGAAUUGAUAAGAACAAAUACGUGAAUAAAUACAUAUAUGAUAUAUUGUAUGUGAUUGUAUCUACAUAUUUAAGUACGAACAUGUGUGUAUGUUUCGUUAGAGAUUGUGUGUAUAUGAAUAUAAAUAUAUAUUUUGUUUGAGACAUAUAUUGACAAUACAUGUUUGUAUUAUAAUAUAUGUGUGCGUAGCAUGUGAAUUGUAUAACCAGUGUGUGUACGUAUAAAAUUUAGGUACACUGCACUUACUGUGUGAUUUGGUGCAGAUGUACGACGCACUGUAUUUAUUGUGUGAUCUAAUACAGUUACGCAAGAAAUCUGAGUAUCCUGUGCUUAUUGUGUAAUCUGAUACAAGAUGAUUUAUAAAGUGGUUUGAAAUGUAUAGUUCUUAUGUGC